RNAcentral lists this ribosomal RNA (811 nucleotides) under Microbacterium aurantiacum. RNAcentral's name for it is "partial 16S ribosomal RNA". It matches the Rfam family "Bacterial small subunit ribosomal RNA", at positions 37 to 859 of the family's 1533-position model. The record is from RNAcentral. Lineage: Bacteria; Bacillati; Actinomycetota; Actinomycetes; Micrococcales; Microbacteriaceae.
UGGCGGCGUGCUUAACACAUGCAAGUCGAACGGUGAUGCCAAGCUUGCUUGGUGGAUCAGUGGCGAACGGGUGAGUAACACGUGAGCAACCUGCCCUGGACUCUGGGAUAAGCGCUGGAAACGGUGUCUAAUACUGGAUAUGAGCUCUCAUCGCAUGGUGGGGGUUGGAAAGAUUUUUCGGUCUGGGAUGGGCUCGCGGCCUAUCAGCUUGUUGGUGAGGUAAUGGCUCACCAAGGCGUCGACGGGUAGCCGGCCUGAGAGGGUGACCGGCCACACUGGGACUGAGACACGGCCCAGACUCCUACGGGAGGCAGCAGUGGGGAAUAUUGCACAAUGGGCGGAAGCCUGAUGCAGCAACGCCGCGUGAGGGAUGACGGCCUUCGGGUUGUAAACCUCUUUUAGCAGGGAAGAAGCGAGAGUGACGGUACCUGCAGAAAAAGCGCCGGCUAACUACGUGCCAGCAGCCGCGGUAAUACGUAGGGCGCAAGCGUUAUCCGGAAUUAUUGGGCGUAAAGAGCUCGUAGGCGGUUUGUCGCGUCUGCUGUGAAAUCCCGAGGCUCAACCUCGGGUCUGCAGUGGGUACGGGCAGACUAGAGUGCGGUAGGGGAGAUUGGAAUUCCUGGUGUAGCGGUGGAAUGCGCAGAUAUCAGGAGGAACACCGAUGGCGAAGGCAGAUCUCUGGGCCGUAACUGACGCUGAGGAGCGAAAGGGUGGGGAGCAAACAGGCUUAGAUACCCUGGUAGUCCACCCCGUAAACGUUGGGAACUAGUUGUGGGGACCAUUCCACGGUUUCCGUGACGCAGCUAACGCA